GCAGCACGGAGCUUGCUCUGGUGGCGAGUGGCGAACGGGUGANUAAUGCGUCGGAACGUAUCCAAUAAUGGGGGAUAACGCAGCGAAAGCUGUGCUAAUACCGCAUACGCCCUCCGGGGGAAAGCAGGGGAUCUUCGGACCUUGCGUUAAUGGAGCGGCCGACGUCUGAUUAGCUAGUUGGUAGGGUAAAGGCCUACCAAGGCGACGAUCAGUAGCUGGUCUGAGAGGAUGAUCAGCCACACUGGGACUGAGACACGGCCCAGACUCCUACGGGAGGCAGCAGUGGGGAAUUUUGGACAAUGGGCGCAAGCCUGAUCCAGCCAUUCCGCGUGAGUGAAGAAGGCCUUCGGGUUGUAAAGCUCUUUCAGGAGGGAAGAAACGAUUGUGGCUAAUACCCAUGAUUAAUGACGGUACCUUCAGAAGAAGCACCGGCUAACUACGUGCCAGCAGCCGCGGUAAUACGUAGGGUGCGAGCGUUAAUCGGAAUUACUGGGCGUAAAGCGUGCGCAGGCGGUUUUUCAAGUCUGAUGUGAAAUCCCCGGGCUUAACCUGGGAACUGCGUUGGAAACUGAAAGACUAGAGUGCGGCAGAGGGGGGUAGAAUUCCACGUGUAGCAGUGAAAUGCGUAGAUAUGUGGAGGAAUACCGAUGGCGAAGGCAGCCCCCUGGGUCGACACUGACGCUCAUGCACGAAAGCGUGGGUAGCAAACAGGAUUAGAUACCCUGGUAGUCCACGCCCUAAACGAUGUCGACUAGUUGUUGGGGAGGGAGACCUCCUUAGUAACGCAGCUAACGCGUGAAGUUGACCGCCUGGGGAGUACGGUCGCAAGAUUAAAACUCNAAGGAAUUGACGGGGGCCCGCACAAGCGGUGGNUUAUGUGGAUUNAUUCGAUGCNNCGCGAAAAACCUUACCUACCCUUGACNUGUACGGAAC
This 933-nucleotide ribosomal RNA is filed under the name uncultured bacterium. RNAcentral describes it as "bacterial SSU rRNA". It matches the Rfam family "Bacterial small subunit ribosomal RNA", at positions 69 to 996 of the family's 1533-position model. The record is from RNAcentral.